UGAUUACGAAGGCUUUUCUCUGGAAGAAAC
Molecule: non-coding RNA, 30 nt
Filed under: Mus musculus (house mouse)
Lineage: Eukaryota; Metazoa; Chordata; Mammalia; Rodentia; Muridae
Source: RNAcentral